Long non-coding RNA from Felis catus (domestic cat), 453 nucleotides. RefSeq lists it as uncharacterized. The record is from RefSeq and is a predicted model, not a curated record. The transcript has 3 exons. Lineage: Eukaryota; Metazoa; Chordata; Mammalia; Carnivora; Felidae.
AAAGGCACUACACAUUCCACCUUGCUCUCAUGGACCACUUUAUUUUGGUGCAAGCCAACAACCAUGUCCUGAGGACACUCAAGUUGCCAUGUGGAGAGGUCCCUAUGGAGAGGAAAUGAGAUCUUCCAGCAACUAGCACUAUGUGGCUGGCCAGCAAAAUCCUGAUUUUAUUCUGGAAUGCAUCCUAUCUGUACUUCCAAAUGGGAUCCUACCAUUCCUCCGGUGAUAGUUCUUUGUCCAGAGUGAAUACUGACAGUACAAAUGAAGUAAUGCAAAAGAAAUCACUGAACAGUACUGAAAAGUAGACAUGAUGAAGUUGGAAUACCAAAACUCUGUACUUAAUUGUUCUAAGAUAACAACCAUUUUGCAAAGAUUCUAUCUUUAUUCACAAGAGCCUAUAUUUAUGAACAGCUAUCUUCCAUUAUUAAAUUAAACAAAAACAUAUCUUCUGAA